Stegastes partitus (bicolor damselfish) is the source of this 468-nucleotide long non-coding RNA. RefSeq lists it as uncharacterized. NCBI's taxonomy places the organism in Eukaryota, Metazoa, Chordata, Actinopteri, Pomacentridae. The record is from RefSeq and is a predicted model, not a curated record. The transcript is spliced from 3 exons.
CGGUUUACGUUACAGACACGAAAACAAAACCCUUACAACAGUUCCUCUUAAAUUCAAAACGGACCUGAAACGCGAAGGAACCGAGUCGGUGCGGUUCAAACUCGCAGUAAUCAGUCCAUCCUGACGCACGUGUGUUUCCAACAUGUGACCCUCCUCAGUGAGCACCUGCUGCGAGCACAGAAUUAAAACCCUCAGACGGAUCAAACAUGACGUUUUAAAAUCAUCUUUUAUCAACUUCACUUCCCAUCAAAGUUGUGAUUCUGUCUCAGUCCUGCCAACCGCUGAGCCCAAUGAUUCAGGAUUACACUUCAAAUUUAACUGAAAUGUGUCUGAAAUGGUGAGCGCCAAACUGAGCUGAUGUUUCUACGUUCAUCUCCUCUGCAGAACAACAAAGGUCGUUGCCCAUGCGGAUGGCCAGCCAUUUGCCGAUCUUCCCGCGGUGCAUCGUGUCCACCACCCUGAACACUU